RNAcentral lists this ribosomal RNA (1221 nucleotides) under fungal endophyte. Its description in RNAcentral is "eukaryotic LSU rRNA". It matches the Rfam family "Eukaryotic large subunit ribosomal RNA", at positions 103 to 1357 of the family's 3401-position model. Lineage: Eukaryota; Fungi. The record is from RNAcentral. RNAcentral also lists the same sequence under 1 other name.
AACAGCUCAAAUUUGAAAUCUGGCCCUAGGCCCGAGUUGUAAUUUGCAGAGGAUGCUUUUGGUGCGGUGCCUUCCAAGUUCCCUAGAACGGGACGCCAGAGAGGGUGAGAGCCCCGUACAGUUGGACACCAAGCCUUUGUAAAGCUCCUUCGACGAGUCGAGUAGUUUGGGAAUGCUGCUCAAAAUGGGAGGUAUAUUUCUUCUAAAGCUAAAUACCGGCCAGAGACCGAUAGCGCACAAGUAGAGUGAUCGAAAGAUGAAAAGCACUUUGAAAAGAGGGUUAAACAGCACGUGAAAUUGUUAAAAGGGAAGCGCUUGUGACCAGACUUGCGUCCGGUGAAUCACCCAGCUCUCGCGGCUGGGGCACUUCGCCGGCUCAGGCCAGCAUCAGCUCGCUGUCGGGGACAAAAGCUUCAGGAACGUAGCUCUCUUCGGGGAGUGUUAUAGCCUGUUGCAUAAUACCCUUCGGCGGGCUGAGGUACGCGCUCCGCAAGGAUGCUGGCAUAAUGGUCAUCAGCGACCCGUCUUGAAACACGGACCAAGGAGUCAACCUUAUGUGCGAGUGUUCGGGUGUCAACCCCUACGCGUAAUGAAAGUGAACGCAGGUGAGAGCUUCGGCGCAUCAUCGACCGAUCCUGAUGUUCUCGGAUGGAUUUGAGUAAGAGCAUAUAGGGUUGGACCCGAAAGAAGGUGAACUAUGCGUGUAUAGGGUGAAGCCAGAGGAAACUCUGGUGGAGGCUCGCAGCGGUUCUGACGUGCAAAUCGAUCGUCAAAUAUGCGCAUGGGGGCGAAAGACUAAUCGAACCUUCUAGUAGCUGGUUUCCGCCGAAGUUUCCCUCAGGAUAGCAGUGUUGAACUCAGUUUUAUGAGGUAAAGCGAAUGAUUAGGGACUCGGGGGCGCUAUAUUGCCUUCAUCCAUUCUCAAACUUUAAAUAUGUAAGAAGCCCUUGUUGCUUAAUUGAACGUGGGCAUUCGAAUGUAUCAACACUAGUGGGCCAUUUUUGGUAAGCAGAACUGGCGAUGCGGGAUGAACCGAACGCGAGGUUAAGGUGCCAGAGUAGACGCUCAUCAGACACCACAAAAGGUGUUAGUACAUCUUGACAGCAGGACGGUGGCCAUGGAAGUCGGAAUCCGCUAAGGACUGUGUAACAACUCACCUGCCGAAUGUACUAGCCCUGAAAAUGGAUGGCGCUCAAGCGUCUCACCCAUACCUCGCCCUCA